CAGUCGACGAAACUUUCUUACACCGAAUGCUUGCAUUCACCGUAAGAAGUUGAGUGGCGGACGGGUGAGUAACACGUGGGUAACCUGCCUAAAAGAAGGGGAUAACACUUGGAAACAGGUGCUAAUACCGUAUAUCUCUAAGGAUCGCAUGAUCCUUAGAUGAAAGAUGGUUCUGCUAUCGCUUUUAGAUGGACCCGCGGCGUAUUAACUAGUUGGUGGGGUAACGGCCUACCAAGGUGAUGAUACGUAGCCGAACUGAGAGGUUGAUCGGCCACAUUGGGACUGAGACACGGCCCAAACUCCUACGGGAGGCAGCAGUAGGGAAUCUUCCACAAUGGACGCAAGUCUGAUGGAGCAACGCCGCGUGAGUGAAGAAGGUCUUCGGAUCGUAAAACUCUGUUGUUAGAGAAGAACACGAGUGAGAGUAACUGUUCAUUCGAUGACGGUAUCUAACCAGCAAGUCACGGCUAACUACGUGCCAGCAGCCGCGGUAAUACGUAGGUGGCAAGCGUUGUCCGGAUUUAUUGGGCGUAAAGGGAACGCAGGCGGUCUUUUAAGUCUGAUGUGAAAGCCUUCGGCUUAACCGGAGUAGUGCAUUGGAAACUGGAAGACUUGAGUGCAGAAGAGGAGAGUGGAACUCCAUGUGUAGCGGUGAAAUGCGUAGAUAUAUGGAAGAACACCAGUGGCGAAAGCGGCUCUCUGGUCUGUAACUGACGCUGAGGUUCGAAAGCGUGGGUAGCAAACAGGAUUAGAUACCCUGGUAGUCCACGCCGUAAACGAUGAAUGCUAGUGUUGGAGGGUUUCCGCCCUUCAGUGCCGCAGCUAACGCAAUAAGCAUUCCGCCUGGGGAGUACGACCGCAAGGUUGAAACUCAAGGAAUUGACGGGGGCCCGCACAAGCGGUGGAGCAUGUGGUUUAAUUCGAAGCAC
Molecule: ribosomal RNA, 929 nt
Filed under: Ligilactobacillus salivarius
Lineage: Bacteria; Bacillati; Bacillota; Bacilli; Lactobacillales; Lactobacillaceae
Description: bacterial SSU rRNA
Rfam family: Bacterial small subunit ribosomal RNA
Source: RNAcentral